GAUGAAGAACGUAGCGAAAUGCGAUACGUAGUGUGAAUUGCAGAAUUCAGUGAAUCAUCGAAUCUUUGAACGCACAUUGCGCCCGCCAGUAUUCUGGCGGGCAUGCCUGUUCGAGCGUCAUUUCCACCAUCAGGCCCCCGGGCCUGUGUUGGGGACCUGCGGCUGCCCGCAGGCCCCGAAAUUCAGUGGCGGUCGCGCCGUAGCAACCGAGCGUAGUAACUAAAACGUCUCGCUCUGGCUCGCUGGGCGCGCUCCGGCCGUAAAACACCCCCCCUUGUCGCAAAGGUUGACCUCGGAUCAGGUAGGAAUACCCGCUGAACUUAAGCAUAUCAAUAAGCGGAGGA
RNAcentral lists this unclassified non-coding RNA (344 nucleotides) under soil metagenome. Its description in RNAcentral is "partial contains 5.8S ribosomal RNA, internal transcribed spacer 2, and large subunit ribosomal RNA". The stretch from base 1 to 120 matches the Rfam family "5.8S ribosomal RNA", at positions 35 to 154 of the family's 154-position model. The record is from RNAcentral.